CCUACGGGAGGCAGCAGUGGGGAAUAUUGGACAAUGGGGGGAACCCUGAUCCAGCCAUGCCGCGUGUGUGAAGAAGGCCCUCGGGUUGUAAGGCACUUUCAGUGAGGAAGAACGCCUGGUGGUUAAUACCCAUCAGGAAAGACAUCACUCACAGAAGAAGCACCGGCUAACUCCGUGCCAGCAGCCGCGGUAAUACGGAGGGUGCGAGCGUUAAUCGGAAUUACUGGGCGUAAAGCGCGCGUAGGUGGCUUGAUAAGCCGGUUGUGAAAGCCCCGGGCUCAACCUGGGAACGGCAUCCGGAACUGUCAAGCUAGAGUGCAGGAGAGGAAGGUAGAAUCCCCGGUGUAGCGGUGAAAUGCGUAGAGAUCGGGAGGAAUACCAGUGGCGAAGGCGGCCUUCUGGACUGACACUGACACUGAGGUGCGAAAGCGUGGGUAGCAAACAGGAUUAGAUACCCUGGUAGUC
This 465-nucleotide ribosomal RNA is filed under the name Vreelandella stevensii. RNAcentral's name for it is "partial 16S ribosomal RNA". It matches the Rfam family "Bacterial small subunit ribosomal RNA", at positions 338 to 795 of the family's 1533-position model. Lineage: Bacteria; Pseudomonadati; Pseudomonadota; Gammaproteobacteria; Oceanospirillales; Halomonadaceae. The record is from RNAcentral.